AAGUCAAAACGUUAUCUGCCUCUCUGUCGCUCGAAUAUGCAAAAGCGAUAGAGAAGCAGAUAAAGAUUAACGAUUUUUCGAUGUUGGCGGUAGGCCUUCAGUCUAACUUUUCGAAACCGUGACAUUACAGAAGCAGCAAUGGACAUGUUCGCAUGCUAACGCUCGCGGGUCCCCGUAGGUGUGGCGGCGCACAGGUCGCGCGUGCGCCCCGGCUCGUGACUGCGCGCGCGCGCCCGUCACGCCGCGCCCGCGCGCACUAUUUUAUCGCAUUAAUUAUUUGGAAAAGGAUUCCCGGGGCUGGCAUUCUUGCGGCCAUGUCAGUUGUGGGAACGUCGUGGGUGAGGGUGAGCGACUAUGCGGCAGCUGAAGUAGCCACAUGCCUCCGUCUUUACCACCGUCUUCAACACCAAAGCUUGAUAUUAAUCGUUAAUUUCAAGUCGAAAACUUUAACUGAAUGCAACACCGAAAUCGAUUAGCGUCGACCGUCGGCGAGGGGGGUGUGGGGUUAGACGUGGGGGUUGAACUGCACCGAACCGCCGACGUCAUCGCCCUGUCAACUGAACAAUACUAAGCAGACGACGUUACGUACACCGUACCCCGAUACGAAACGUGUAAAAUAAAAGUCAAUGCACUGUUAUACCUAUAUACGGAAAAUAUCAUACUUGAGCUGGCUCGCGGCGGAUUAGCUGUCAUGUUCGAUACACGAAAUGUAUUUGUCGUUUGACCAGCUUCAAAUGUACCGAUUAUCUAGAUACCAGCACAAUACUAAUGGUAAUACACAAUACGAUCUUUUAUGCAUUGUAACAUACCAAUUAUAAAAUAAUUUAAUACAGUUUAUAUCGGUGAUAUAACAAACCAUUAAUAUGCAACUACAUAAUUAUUUCUACGAACACGUCGUACCUUGGAUGAUUUGGCAACUGGAGUCACCUUCAAGAGCUUACCCCUCUGUCGAAAACCUCCGCCAAUGGUCAUAUGUAUUGUAUGGACUGAAGUUUAUCUGACAUGGGUAUUUGUAUGUUAUAUACGUUACGUAG
Molecule: long non-coding RNA, 1034 nt
Organism: Cydia pomonella (codling moth)
Lineage: Eukaryota; Metazoa; Arthropoda; Insecta; Lepidoptera; Tortricidae
Exons: 3
Source: RefSeq, a predicted model, not a curated record